Molecule: long non-coding RNA, 298 nt
Organism: Drosophila hydei
Lineage: Eukaryota; Metazoa; Arthropoda; Insecta; Diptera; Drosophilidae
Exons: 2
Source: RefSeq, a predicted model, not a curated record
CGGGCUUUUCCCUAGAGCCUUAUUCUUACAUAACAUUCCAAAGCAAUAACAUCUAAAUUCUUCUGUAGUCUUGAUUUGUUUUUUUGGGUUUUAAGAUCAAUCAUGUGUUGCGGACCCUGCGGUGGCUGUUCUCCCUGCGGCGGCGGUUGCUUCGGACCUAAUGUGUGCGGACCCUGCUAUGCCACAGGCCCUUGCUUCGGCUGCUGCGGUGGAUGUGCCGUUGGCCCUGCCGGCGGAUGUUGCAGUAGCUGUGGACCUUCCUGCUAAAAUCACGUUUGUGGUCUAAAUUAUCAAGUGC